CGGUUAGUUGGACUACCAGGCGACGAUGGGUAGCCGGCCUGAGAGGGUGACCGGCCACACUGGGACUGAGAUACGGCCCAGACUCCUACGGGAGGCAGCAGUGGGGAAUAUUGCACAAUGGGCGCAAGCCUGAUGCAGCGACGCCGCGUGAGGGAUGACGGCCUUCGGGUUGUAAACCUCUUUCGGUAGGGACGAAGCGCAAGUGACGGUACCUACUAAAGAAGCACCGGCCAACUACGUGCCAAGG
RNAcentral lists this ribosomal RNA (247 nucleotides) under uncultured Mycobacterium sp. RNAcentral's name for it is "partial 16S ribosomal RNA". It matches the Rfam family "Bacterial small subunit ribosomal RNA", at positions 253 to 513 of the family's 1533-position model. Lineage: Bacteria; Bacillati; Actinomycetota; Actinomycetes; Mycobacteriales; Mycobacteriaceae. The record is from RNAcentral.